RNAcentral lists this ribosomal RNA (515 nucleotides) under Micrura sp. MCZ IZ 132529. RNAcentral describes it as "partial 16S ribosomal RNA". It matches the Rfam family "Bacterial large subunit ribosomal RNA", at positions 1818 to 2597 of the family's 2925-position model. The record is from RNAcentral. Lineage: Eukaryota; Metazoa; Nemertea; Pilidiophora; Heteronemertea; Lineidae.
UGUUUGUAGGUAAGCGUGAGUGUUUGAUUACAAAUAUUUUCUGCCCGGUGGAUUCUAAACGGCCGCGGUACUCUGACCGUGCAAAGGUAGCAUAAUCACUUGCCUUUUUAUUGGGGGCUAGAAUGAAUGGGAUUAUUGAGACUCCUACUGUCUCUUUUUUUAUUUUGGAAAUUGCUGUUUUUGUGAAGAAGCAGAGGUUUGGGAGAAAGACAAGAAGACCCUAUUAAACUUAAUUGUUUUGUUUGUGUUUUCUUUUUUUGAAAAGUGAUUAUGGGCUGUAAUAAUUUGGUUGGGGUGAUGGAGAAAGAGUGAAGAUCUUUUUUUUUUAGAAGAACAUAAUGGUUCAACAUGGAUAAUAGGAUGUUUAGAGAGAAUGAAAAGUUACUAUAGGGAUAACAGCGUAAUUCUUUCUAAGAGUUCUUAUUGAAGAAAGAGAUUGCGACCUCGAUGUUGACUUGUUAAUUCCGUUGGGUGUAGAAGCUAUAAGGGUUAGUCUGUUCGACUAUUAAAAUAAU